Polypterus senegalus (gray bichir) is the source of this 477-nucleotide long non-coding RNA. RefSeq lists it as uncharacterized. Lineage: Eukaryota; Metazoa; Chordata; Cladistia; Polypteriformes; Polypteridae. The record is from RefSeq and is a predicted model, not a curated record. The transcript has 3 exons.
CUCUGGUGAUGUGCAGGUUUUGGUCCUGUGUGGAAUUCUCCUGUAAGACAUCCUCCAGGAGAGGUGGCUAGUCUUCGGAUGCUGAGGAGUAACAAUAUUCUAACUAUUUAAAUAAAGCAGAUGACAGAAGGGAAAUGCAUGCAGCAGCAACUUUCAAAAACAUGUCCCUCUCCAUCCAAGAGCUGCAUUGAGAAAACAUGUGCCUGCUGUACUGUCUGAUCAAUGGAAACUCCAUUUAAGGCUUCCAUUUACAGAAAAUCAUCAGGAACUUCAGGAAACUUUUAGAUUUCUUCUGGAAUUUCAUUUGCACACUGCAAUGUUGAGAGGAACAGGAUCCACAAACUGAAGAAUGACUGAGGAUCCUAACAUCCAAGGCAGAAAUUGUCAGACAGGAGUCCUCAGAGGCAGUAACAAGGCUGUCUGGCCAGGAGACCUUGGGGACAGAGAAGUUUAUAUUUCAUCCAGAACUUCCUUUAG